AGCGAACGCUGGCGGCAGGCCUAACACAUGCAAGUCGAGCGCCCGUAGCAAUACGGGAGCGGCAGACGGGAGAGUAACACGUGGGAACGUACCCUUCAGUUCGGAACAACCCAGGGAAACUUGGGCUAAUACCGGAUAAGCCCUUACGGGGAAAGAUUUAUCGCCGAAAGAUCGGCCCGCGUCUGAUUAGCUAGUUGGUGUGGUAACGGCGCACCAAGGCGACGAUCAGUAGCUGGUCUGAGAGGAUGAUCAGCCACAUUGGGACUGAGACACGGCCCAAACUCCUACGGGAGGCAGCAGUGGGGAAUAUUGGACAAUGGGCGCAAGCCUGAUCCAGCCAUGCCGCGUGAGUGAUGAAGGCCCUAGGGUUGUAAAGCUCUUUUGUGCGGGAAGAUAAUGACGGUACCGCAAGAAUAAGCCCCGGCUAACUUCGUGCCAGCCGCCGCCGUAAU
Molecule: ribosomal RNA, 452 nt
Filed under: uncultured bacterium
Lineage: Bacteria
Description: bacterial SSU rRNA
Rfam family: Bacterial small subunit ribosomal RNA
Source: RNAcentral